This 61-nucleotide transfer RNA is filed under the name mouse gut metagenome. It matches the Rfam family "tRNA", at positions 8 to 63 of the family's 71-position model. From Rfam's summary of the family: Transfer RNA (tRNA) molecules are approximately 80 nucleotides in length. The record is from RNAcentral. RNAcentral also lists the same sequence under 2 other names.
CUUAGCUCAGUUGGUUAGAGCAUCUGACUGUUAAUCAGAGGGUCCAAGGUUCAAGUCCUUG